This 483-nucleotide ribosomal RNA is filed under the name uncultured soil bacterium. RNAcentral's name for it is "bacterial SSU rRNA". It matches the Rfam family "Bacterial small subunit ribosomal RNA", at positions 26 to 517 of the family's 1533-position model. The record is from RNAcentral.
AGGAUGAACGCUGGCGGCGUGCUUAACACAUCGCAAGUCGAACGAUGAAGGCUGGAGCUUGCUCUGGCUGGAUUAGUGGCGAACGGGUGAGUAACACGUUGAGUAACCUGCCCCAGACUCUGGGAUAAGCGCUGGAAACGGCGUCUAAUACCGGAUACGAGCUUCCACCGCAUGGUGAGGAGCUGGAAAGAAUUUCGGUCUGGGAUGGACUCGCGGCCUAUCAGCUUGUUGGUGAGGUAAUGGCUCACCAAGGCGACGACGGGUAGCCGGCCUGAGAGGGUGACCGGCCACACUGGGACUGAGACACGGCCCAGACUCCUACGGGAGCAGCAGUGGGGAAUAUUGCACAAUGGGCGAAAGCCUGAUGCAGCGACGCCGCGUGAGGAUGACGGCCUUCGGUUGUAAACCUCUUUCAGCAGGACGAAGCGACAAGUGACGGUACCUGCAGAAGAAGCGACCGGCUAACUACGUGCCAGCAGACCG